UACGUAGGGGGCAAGCGUUGUCCGGAAUCAUUGGGCGUAAAGAGCGUGUAGGCGGCCCGAUAAGUCCGCCGUGAAAGUCCAGGGCUCAACCCUGGAAUGCCGGUGGAUACUGCCGGGCUAGAGUGCGGAAGAGGCGAGUGGAAUUCCUGGUGUAGCGGUGAAAUGCGCAGAUAUCAGGAGGAACACCAAUGGCGAAGGCAGCUCGCUGGGACGUGACUGACGCUGAGACGCGAAAGCGUGGGGAGCAAACAGG
RNAcentral lists this ribosomal RNA (253 nucleotides) under uncultured bacterium. RNAcentral describes it as "partial 16S ribosomal RNA". It matches the Rfam family "Bacterial small subunit ribosomal RNA", at positions 524 to 776 of the family's 1533-position model. The record is from RNAcentral.